UAGGUGAGGUCAUAUCACUCGUUGCACUACACCUUCCCCAAAAAAAGGGUAAAUAACUGAAUUUAGGUGAUCCCUUUCGUCUCGUUAGUGAAGGUGCUGCCUGCCUGCCUGAUGGCGCACCAAGAAAAUGGUUUAGGUAUCCCCCGGUGGUGGUCAAGGGUUUUAGCCUGGUGGUGCUAGAAUGGUGUGAGGUUUGAGCAUUAGCAAAGGAGAGGGGAUAAUGGGAAGAUUUGG
Molecule: long non-coding RNA, 234 nt
Filed under: Elaeis guineensis (African oil palm)
Lineage: Eukaryota; Viridiplantae; Streptophyta; Magnoliopsida; Arecales; Arecaceae
Description: long non-coding RNA (EGUI_LNC006684)
Source: RNAcentral